GAAUUUAUAUUCAUGGCGAACGGCUGAGUAACGCGUGGGAACGUACCCCAAAGUCAGGAAUAACCCAUCGAAAGAUGGGAUAAUACUUGAUAUGCCUUCGGGUGAAAGAUUUAUCGCUUUGGGAGCGGCCUGCGUCCGAUUAGCUUGUUGGUGAGGUAAAAGCUCACCAAGGCUCUGAUCGGUAGGGGGCUCGAGAGGGUGACCCCCCAGACUGGGACUGAGACACGGCCCAGACUCC
This 238-nucleotide ribosomal RNA is filed under the name uncultured bacterium. RNAcentral describes it as "partial 16S ribosomal RNA". It matches the Rfam family "Bacterial small subunit ribosomal RNA", at positions 83 to 339 of the family's 1533-position model. The record is from RNAcentral.